GGGUUGUGAGGUUAAGCGACUAAGCGUACACGGUGGAUGCCCUGGCAGUCAGAGGCGAUGAAGGACGUGCUAAUCUGCGAUAAGCGUCGGUAAGGUGAUAUGAACCGUUAUAACCGGCGAUUUCCGAAUGGGGAAACCCAGUGUGUUUCGACACACUAUCAUUAACUGAAUCCAUAGGUUAAUGAGGCGAACCGGGGGAACUGAAACAUCUAAGUACCCCGAGGAAAAGAAAUCAACCGAGAUUCCCCCAGUAGCGGCGAGCGAACGGGGAGCAGCCCAGAGCCUGAAUCAGUGUGUGUGUUAGUGGAAGCGUCUGGAAAGGCGCGCGAUACAGGGUGACAGCCCCGUACACAAAAAUGCACAUACUGUGAGCUCGAUGAGUAGGGCGGGACACGUGGUAUCCUGUCUGAAUAUGGGGGGACCAUCCUCCAAGGCUAAAUACUCCUGACUGACCGAUAGUGAACCAGUACCGUGAGGGAAAGGCGAAAAGAACCCCGGCGAGGGGAGUGAAAAAGAACCUGAAACCGUGUACGUACAAGCAGUGGGAGCCUCUUUUAUGG
RNAcentral lists this ribosomal RNA (560 nucleotides) under Escherichia coli. RNAcentral describes it as "partial 23S ribosomal RNA". It matches the Rfam family "Bacterial large subunit ribosomal RNA", at positions 1 to 591 of the family's 2925-position model. Lineage: Bacteria; Pseudomonadati; Pseudomonadota; Gammaproteobacteria; Enterobacterales; Enterobacteriaceae. The record is from RNAcentral.